GGCGGAGUGCCCGAGUGGCCAAAGGGAGCUGACUGUAAAUCAGCCGCGAUACGCUUCGGGGGUUCAAAUCCCUCCUCCGCCA
Molecule: transfer RNA, 82 nt
Filed under: Actinomycetaceae bacterium
Lineage: Bacteria; Bacillati; Actinomycetota; Actinomycetes; Actinomycetales; Actinomycetaceae
Description: tRNA-Tyr
Rfam family: tRNA
About the family: Transfer RNA (tRNA) molecules are approximately 80 nucleotides in length. Their secondary structure includes four short double-helical elements and three loops (D, anti-codon, and T loops). Further hydrogen bonds mediate the characteristic L-shaped molecular structure. tRNAs have two regions of fundamental functional importance: the anti-codon, which is responsible for specific mRNA codon recognition, and the 3' end, to which the tRNAs corresponding amino acid is attached (by aminoacyl-tRNA synthetases). tRNAs cope with the degeneracy of the genetic code in two manners: having more than one tRNA (with a specific anti-codon) for a particular amino acid; and 'wobble' base-pairing, i.e. permitting non-standard base-pairing at the 3rd anti-codon position.
Source: RNAcentral